GGGGGGGGGGCUAUACAUGCAGUCGAGCGAACUGAUUAGAAGCUUGCUUCUAUGACGUUAGCGGCGGACGGGUGAGUAACACGUGGGCAACCUGCCUGUAAGACUGGGAUAACUUCGGGAAACCGAAGCUAAUACCGGAUAGGAUCUUCUCCUUCAUGGGAGAUGAUUGAAAGAUGGUUUCGGCUAUCACUUACAGAUGGGCCCGCGGUGCAUUAGCUAGUUGGUGAGGUAACGGCUCACCAAGGCAACGAUGCAUAGCCGACCUGAGAGGGUGAUCGGCCACACUGGGACUGAGACACGGCCCAGACUCCUACGGGAGGCAGCAGUAGGGAAUCUUCCGCAAUGGACGAAAGUCUGACGGAGCAACGCCGCGUGAGUGAUGAAGGCUUUCGGGUCGUAAAACUCUGUUGUUAGGGAAGAACAAGUACGAGAGUAACUGCUCGUACCUUGACGGUACCUAACCAGAAAGCCACGGCUAACUACGUGCCAGCAGCCGCGGUAAUACGUAGGUGGCAAGCGUUAUCCGGAAUUAUUGGGCGUAAAGCGCGCGCAGGCGGUUUCUUAAGUCUGAUGUGAAAGCCCACGGCUCAACCGUGGAGGGUCAUUGGAAACUGGGGAACUUGAGUGCAGAAGAGAAAAGCGGAAUUCCACGUGUAGCGGUGAAAUGCGUAGAGAUGUGGAGGAACACCAGUGGCGAAGGCGGCUUUUUGGUCUGUAACUGACGCUGAGGCGCGAAAGCGUGGGGAGCAAACAGGAUUAG
This 760-nucleotide ribosomal RNA is filed under the name Priestia megaterium. RNAcentral describes it as "bacterial SSU rRNA". It matches the Rfam family "Bacterial small subunit ribosomal RNA", at positions 39 to 781 of the family's 1533-position model. Lineage: Bacteria; Bacillati; Bacillota; Bacilli; Caryophanales; Bacillaceae. The record is from RNAcentral.